GCGGCCAGACGCCAGCGCCAUGGAGGAGUACGCUCGGGAGCCCUGCCCAUGGCGAAUUGUGGAUGAUUGCGGUGGAGCCUUCACUAUGGGUGUCAUCGGUGGCGGAGUCUUCCAGGCCAUCAAGGGUUUCCGCAAUGCCCCUGUUGUGAGUCCAGGCCUUCCCUGGGUUGGUGUGGGGUUAGCUAUCUUGCCUACAAGGGAGGCUGCUCUGAAAACUGCUUGGAGCUGCCAGUCACGUGCACUUAUUCAUUCUGGUGCCCACUCACCUACUAUGUGCCGAGCCUGGCUCCUGUAUCUGGGAUUUUGUAGGGAUUGCAAACAUGGCCUCUGUCUUCCACCCUCCACCCCACCCAACUGGAGCUCCUCUGUGGAAAUGCUGUGUCGUUCAAAGAGUCAUCACCAAAUUUUAAAUGUAUGUGCAAAGCCAGACAGUUUUUUUUUUUUUUUGAGACAGUCUUGCUCUGUUGCCCAGGCUAGAGUGCAGUGGCAUGCUCUUGGCUCACUGCAACCUCUGCCUCCUGGGUUCAGGCAAUUCUCCUGUCUCAGCCUCCCAAGUAGCUGGGACUACAGGCAUGUGCCACCAGACCUGACGAAUUUUUGUAAUUUUAGUAGAAAUGGGGUUUCACUAUGUUGGCCAGGCUGGCCUUGAACUCUGGACCUCAGGUGAUCCACCUACCUCGGCCUCCCAAAGUGCUGGGAUUACAGGCGUGUGCCACUGUGCCUGGCC
RNAcentral lists this small RNA (727 nucleotides) under Pan troglodytes (chimpanzee). RNAcentral describes it as "retained intron". The record is from RNAcentral. Lineage: Eukaryota; Metazoa; Chordata; Mammalia; Primates; Hominidae.